CAUGCAAGUCGAACGAGCGAGAGAGAGCUUGCUUUCUUGAGCGAGUGGCGAACGGGUGAGUAACGCGUGAGGAACCUGCCUCAAAGAGGGGGACAACAGUUGGAAACGACUGCUAAUACCGCAUAAGCCCACAGGUCGGCAUCGACCAGAGGGAAAAGGAGCAAUCCGCUUUGAGAUGGCCUCGCGUCCGAUUAGCUAGUUGGUGAGGUAAUGGCCCACCAAGGCGACGAUCGGUAGCCGGACUGAGAGGUUGAACGGCCACAUUGGGACUGAGACACGGCCCAGACUCCUACGGGAGGCAGCAGUGGGGAAUAUUGCACAAUGGGGGAAACCCUGAUGCAGCGACGCCGCGUGGAGGAAGAAGGUCUUCGGAUUGUAAACUCCUGUUGUUGAGGAAGAUAAUGACGGUACUCAACAAGGAAGUGACGGCUAACUACGUGCCAGCAGCCGCGGUAAAACGUAGGUCACAAGCGUUGUCCGGAAUUACUGGGUGUAAAGGGAGCGCAGGCGGGAAGACAAGUUGGAAGUGAAAUCUAUGGGCUCAACCCAUAAACUGCUUUCAAAACUGUUUUUCUUGAGUAGUGCAGAGGUAGGCGGAAUUCCCGGUGUAGCGGUGGAAUGCGUAGAUAUCGGGAGGAACACCAGUGGCGAAGGCGGCCUACUGGGCACCAACUGACGCUGAGGCUCGAAAGUGUGGGUAGCAAACAGGAUUAGAUACCCUGGUAGUCCACACCGUAAACGAUGAUUACUAG
Molecule: ribosomal RNA, 752 nt
Filed under: uncultured bacterium
Lineage: Bacteria
Description: bacterial SSU rRNA
Rfam family: Bacterial small subunit ribosomal RNA
Source: RNAcentral